This is a long non-coding RNA of Chenopodium quinoa (quinoa), 1133 nucleotides long. RefSeq lists it as uncharacterized. The record is from RefSeq and is a predicted model, not a curated record. Lineage: Eukaryota; Viridiplantae; Streptophyta; Magnoliopsida; Caryophyllales; Amaranthaceae. The transcript has 3 exons.
AAUGCUAAAUUUUUGUUUUUUUUUUGUUCGAUUCAAUGCCAAUAUGUGGUUUUAUUUAUUUGUCUUUUUUAAAAAUAUUUUAACUCCAAUGGAAUUGCACUAGUUAUAUAAAAAUCGCAAUUUCAAUAAUAUAAAAUUAUAUUUUUAUUGACGGGAAUAUAAAAUAACAUUAAACUCAUAUGAUUAGAGAUAGGUUAAUGUUUUUUUUUAUCUAAUUUUAUUUUCCAAGUCUUUCCUCUAUUUAAGAAAUGACCAUUAAAAAAAAUAAAGAAAAUUAAAAAAAAAAAACCCAAGUCUCCUGUCCCAGAAAAAAAAACCCCAAGUUUCCUGCUUGUGAAUUCGUGAUUAUAUUUUACGGAGUACAAAAUAAUAAGCAAUCCUCAAAUUCCCUCAUUUCACCACGUACAACCGCUCACUCCACCGCACCGCCCACUCCACCACGCUGUCUACUCCACUGAUGUCCCUUGUAACAAGGCCAACUCCACGUUACCUCAUUUCAAAGCAAUGAAGAAUUAAAGUGAAAUUUGAUACUCUGAGUUUAAAUAGGGAAAUUAAGGUCUAUAUCAGGAUGAACUUGGGGGAAAUUGGGAAAAAGAGGUUCAUAGCUUUGCCAGGCUGGCACAUCAAGCAAUCGACAACGCACGGCGCCACACGACCUGGCGACCCUGUCUCAUUUUUUUAGUUUCACGCCUUUCACGGAUCAAAACUUGAUUCAAGUAGCAACGGGCCGGGACUGCCAUCAAAUUAUUAUUAUCCAAUCCUUCAGAGCACCUUGGUGUUAAAAUGGUGUUAAUCCCAAUUUCUUUCCUAUCAAUCAGGAUGUCGGUGAAGAGUUAGAAGGGAUCAAUGAUUAUUUACGACAUUAGUCAAGAGUUAGAAGGGAUCCCCUAUUUAUGCUAGAUUGAUUUGACGCUCCGAAUAGCAACAACAAAUUGAUGCGUUCUUGCCUUACCGAUUUCAACUUAGCAGAUAAUUUUUGUUUUAAAGUAGAACAAAAUUAUACUUUGUAUAUUGUAAUAAUCUAGUUAAUAGUGUAUCAUGAUCACAAAUGAUGUACAAAAUUUUUAACUUUUAUGUAUACGUAUUAAGUGUCUACACUACUUUUGCUUAUAAAAAUGCAAUUUUUUUCUGAA